RNAcentral lists this transfer RNA (72 nucleotides) under Oryzias latipes (Japanese medaka). It matches the Rfam family "tRNA". Rfam says of the family: Transfer RNA (tRNA) molecules are approximately 80 nucleotides in length. Their secondary structure includes four short double-helical elements and three loops (D, anti-codon, and T loops). Lineage: Eukaryota; Metazoa; Chordata; Actinopteri; Beloniformes; Adrianichthyidae. The record is from Rfam by way of RNAcentral.
GGUUCUGUGAUGUAAUGGUAAGUUGUCUGGACUGUGAAUCCAGUAGUCUGAGUUCAUAUCUCUGUAGAACCU